UUCUUUCUUUCUCUUACAGUCUCCUCAGAGCUCAGUGACCUAAGCCAGCACCCACCAAAGCCAGCACCCACCUCCUGUAGAAGUCCCUGUAAGGAGGAAUGGACCACACAUAGCACUCCAUACUCACCUUUCCUGCAGUAUUUAUAUUGGAGAUGACAUCCAUAUGCACAUCAUCACUCAGCCUGACUCCUUUAUUACAGAAGAAACAAGUGAUAGCUCUUCUAGGAAACACUGCUUACAGGAGUUGCGGGCACAUCUUGUAUUUAUGGACAUCCCACAGUGAAUGAACUACCCCAUUACAUUUCUUUUUAUUACUAUUUUUUAACUUAAAAAAGAAAAGGCCAAACAAACAACAGUGCUCUAGCCAGUGUCAGAGCCACAGUGAAAAAGAGACAAACUGGAGGACAAGCAAGCAUCACAGGAUGGAAAUGCUUCUGAUAUGGUCUGGAUGGUGAGACAAGAGAAUAUCUUUUUUCUCUGUGAUAAGAUGACUGAAAAACAAUAAACCUGAGGUUAGUCAAACUCUCUCUCCAUCCAUCUGUUCACCUUCCUUGACAAUGUGUGAACCUGCUGGGCAGUUUCAGCCCAAUUUCACAGAAGGUCAGUGAUGUCAAAGAUAAUUAACAGUCUUCAAACUGUGCACACUUGGGUAAAGUGGGAACUAACAUAAUAUGAGAAGGAAUAAUACAAGAAUUGCAGACAACGUUUCCAGAUUUUCUUAAAGAGAGGAAAAUGCAGAGGGAAUAACUGACAGAGAAAAGGAGAAGAUGUGAAUGGAAUUGACAUAUCAGGGAACGGCUUGAGUCUCUUUCACUAUGAAACUUUAAUGGCAAGCCCUUAUAAGAAAACCAAAUAAAGCCUCCCAACAACAACAUGAAAGAUACUCCAAAAAAGGAUGCUGAAGUUACACCAGUUGUGAUAAAGAAACUUAUGCCAUUGUUUGCUUCCACAUGUGGAAAAUAGCCCUUGGAUGCUGCAUAAACACAGUGCAACAGAAAAUGCCACAAUGAGUAUAGGAAACAGAUCAGGAUGAAGAUACAUGUAUUCUGAUAUGAAAUUAUCAAAGGUCUCCAAAGCUACAGAUGUUGCUAUAAAUAGCUCAACAUCCUGAUUACCAGAAACUUCAAAGGAGUCUUCACGGUACUUCAUUCCUCCAUUGCUCUUAAGUGAAAAUACAGAUUGGGGUAGAUAGAAUUAUACCAAGUUCAGUAACAGAAGAGGUGUACUACUGAACACAAGAAACACCCAGGUAUCCAUUUAGUGGUAUCAAACCAUAGACUCCACAGAGUAAUUUAGGCUGGGAAUGACCAGCUGAAGUCAGGUUACACAAGGCCAGGUGCUCUAAUGCAUCCUAUGGAGAUGCAUGCCCCUCCGGGCAUCCACACCAGUGUGGGAUCACCCUCAGGGUAAAAUUCUUCUUUAUAUCUGAUUGCAAUUUCCCUUGUUGUAACUUGUCUGCUGCCUCUCUUAUAAUCGUGCACCUUUGAGAGAUAUCUGACAUUACCUUCUCUAUGUCUUUACAUUA
Molecule: long non-coding RNA, 1525 nt
Organism: Neopsephotus bourkii (Bourke's parrot)
Lineage: Eukaryota; Metazoa; Chordata; Aves; Psittaciformes; Psittacidae
Exons: 7
Source: RefSeq, a predicted model, not a curated record